This 253-nucleotide small RNA is filed under the name Pseudocitrobacter faecalis. Lineage: Bacteria; Pseudomonadati; Pseudomonadota; Gammaproteobacteria; Enterobacterales; Enterobacteriaceae. The record is from RNAcentral.
CAUUGGCGAGGACGCCGGAAGGAUUUCUAACUCAGGAUGAGGGUCAGGAGCGCCAGGAGGCGAAGACUUAGGAUUGUCAGGAUGACAAACGUCCGGAGACGUAGCGAAAGGAAAUGGAGCAGUACAGGGAUUGUUCCAGGCUAAAGGAAAGACAGGGUGUGUCGGUAGCUAACAUGGAAUGUAGCGCCCGUUGAGGGUGGAGAGUCAGAAAAAGGCGACAGAUUACUCUGUCGCCUUUUUUCUUUGUUGGUAU